Molecule: ribosomal RNA, 417 nt
Filed under: uncultured bacterium
Lineage: Bacteria
Description: partial 16S ribosomal RNA
Rfam family: Bacterial small subunit ribosomal RNA
Source: RNAcentral
AAUCAUCGGCAAUGGGGGAAACCCUGACCGUGCAAUGCCGCGUGAGUGAUGAAGGCCUUAUGGGUUGUAAAGCUCUGUUGCGAAGGAAGAACAAUCUAGAUAGAAUCUAGAUCUGACGGUACUUCGCCAGAAAGCCAUGGCUAAAUACGUGCCAGCAGCCGCGGUAAUACGUAGAUGGCAAGCGUUAUCCGGAUUUAUUGGGCGUAAAGGGUGCUCAGCUGGUUUAUUAAGUCUGUAGUUAAAUUUCGGGGCUCAACUCCGAACUGCUGCGGAAACUGGUAAACUUGAGUACAGGAGAGGGUAGUGGAAUUCCAUGUGAAGCGGUAAAAUGCGUAGAUAUAUGGAGGAACACCAGUGGCGAAGGCGGCUACCUGGCCUGUAACUGACGGUCAAGCACGAAAGCGUGGGGAGCAAAUA